GACGAACGCUGGCGGCGUGCUUAACACAUGCAAGUCGAACGGAAAGGCCUGCUUUCCCUUGUGGAUUGCGGGUACUCGAGUGGCGAACGGGUGAGUAACACGUGAGUGAUCUGCCCCCAACUUGGGUAUAAGCCUGGGAAACUGGGUCUAAUUCCCGAUAGGACUGCAGGGUGGUGCCUGUGGUGGAAAACGAUUUUCUAGUGGUUGGGGAUGAGCUCGCGGCCUAUCAGCUUGUUGGUGGGGUAAUGGCCUACCGAGGCGGCGACGGGUAGCCGGCCUGAGAGGGUGGACGGCCACAUUGGGACUGAGAUACGGCCCAGACUCCUACGGGAGGCAGCAGUGGGGAAUAUUGCACAAUGGGCGGAAGCCUGAUGCAGCGACGCCGCGUGGGGGAUGACGGCCUUCGGGUUGUAAACUCCUUUCGACCGCGAGGAAGCCACCUGGUUGGAAGGGUGGUGACGGUAGUGGUAGAAGAAGCACCGGCUAACUACGUG
Molecule: ribosomal RNA, 494 nt
Filed under: uncultured bacterium
Lineage: Bacteria
Description: partial 16S ribosomal RNA
Rfam family: Bacterial small subunit ribosomal RNA
Source: RNAcentral